GGGGUGACUCGCCGAUAAGAAGAGGGCCAAACCGGUGGUCGGCGGUGACCACCGGCGACGGCAAAAUGGCAAAAAAAGAAAAUUCUUCUGCAAUAAAAUCCGGUGACUCUGGUCGCCGGCGAGCGUGCACAUCGGCACGGGAAGGAAGGGGGAGAAGAGAGGAAGAGGAGGAGGCUUACCUCCGUCGCCGGCGAAGCUUUUCCGAUGAGAAAUUGGACGGCACAGCGACGGG
This 232-nucleotide long non-coding RNA is filed under the name Elaeis guineensis (African oil palm). RNAcentral's name for it is "long non-coding RNA (EGUI_LNC012626)". Lineage: Eukaryota; Viridiplantae; Streptophyta; Magnoliopsida; Arecales; Arecaceae. The record is from RNAcentral.